AUAGGCAAGAGUCCUGAGUCUGG
RNAcentral lists this unclassified non-coding RNA (23 nucleotides) under Mus musculus (house mouse). Its description in RNAcentral is "oocyte_clustered_small_RNA2804". The record is from RNAcentral. Lineage: Eukaryota; Metazoa; Chordata; Mammalia; Rodentia; Muridae.